Molecule: long non-coding RNA, 625 nt
Organism: Arabidopsis thaliana (thale cress)
Lineage: Eukaryota; Viridiplantae; Streptophyta; Magnoliopsida; Brassicales; Brassicaceae
Product: other RNA
Exons: 1
Source: RefSeq
UCUCUAUGUCUCUGUUUCUACGGUGGAUGAUAGAUCUUAUCAUCGCAGGCAAACAAAUUAAGAUGUGAUGCUUGUGUGUGUGAUCUCUCUCGUCUUCUUCGUUGCUUUUUAAGUGAAAACAGAGAGAGCCGUUGUAUAUAUGAGUCUUUCUUGGGCCAUACCAACGAAUCACACCAAAGAUUAGGGUGAAUCCAACAAGCAGAUGCAACAACUCAUGAAUAAUGAAAUCUCAAAAAAGGAAGAAGAAGAGAACAGAGAGGCAAACGAAGCAGACAACAAUCGAAGAAGAGAAUUGAAAAAAAAUUCAGAGCAAUUGCAUUUUUAACUUGAAAGGAGACGCGAGACGCAUGUAUAUAAAUUUUUUUGUUUGACACUCAAGUUUCCUUUUUUCCUUUUCACUUAGGGUUUGUUAUAGUCCAGAGCAAACACUAACCUUAGGUUCGGUGAUAAUCUAGCCGUUAUACACGGUUCGGGUCAAAUACUUUCCAAUUAUUAGCUGAUACGCUCCUACUAAUUUUUAGUUUAGAUACUGAUUGUAUAUAUUUUGAUUGUAUUACUUUCUACUAAACCAUUGCUUUUCAUUUAUCUAACGUUGUGCUCUGCCUCCUUUGUAUUACUGGACCAC